CAGUAGCCGCGGUAAUACGUAGGGUGCAAGCGUUAAUCGGAAUUACUGGGCGUAAAGCGUGCGCAGGCGGUUACAUAAGUCAGAUGUGAAAUCCCCGGGCUCAACCUGGACCUGCAUUUGUGACUGUAUAGCUAGAGUACGGUAGAGGGGGAUGGAAUUCCGCGUGUAGCAGUGAAAUGCGUAGAUAUGCGGAGGAACACCGAUGGCGAAGGCAAUCCCCUGGACCUGUACUGACGCUCAUGCACGAAAGCGUGGGGAGCAAACAGGAUUAGAUACCCCGGUAGUCCCUGUCUCUUAUACA
RNAcentral lists this ribosomal RNA (301 nucleotides) under uncultured bacterium. RNAcentral's name for it is "partial 16S ribosomal RNA". It matches the Rfam family "Bacterial small subunit ribosomal RNA", at positions 509 to 808 of the family's 1533-position model. The record is from RNAcentral.